UGAGCUUUCAGAAGGGGAAUGGACUGUGUUUUAUUCAUUUUCAACCCCCAGCACAGUAUUUUGAAUGUGGUGAGACACAAUACAUGUUUGAAGGGCGAGUGAAUGGUUCUCUUUUUCAUUUGUUUAUUGUGGUAAAAUGUACAUAACAUAAAAUUGAUCAUUUUAACUAUUUUAAGUAUACAGUUCAGUGGCCUUGAGUAUGUUUACAUUGUUGUGUAUGGUUCUCUUUUAAUAACCUAAGGAAUAUAUGUUAAUUGUAGAAAAGUUAUUAAAUAGAUAAUCAAACAGAAAAAUGACCUAAACACCCAUCAAAUUCUACCAUCCAUAGAAAACCCAGACUAAUCACUCCUAACAUUUUGGUAUAUAUCCUUUCACAUUGCUUUAUGUACAUUUAUUCCUAUCCACAUAAGAUAUAAAAGUGAUUGUGUUAUAUGUCCUGCAUAGUAACCUGCUCUCAUUUUCCUGACAUGUAGUUGAUAUUUCCAUGUUAAUAACAGAUAAAUGGAUCGAUUUUGAUUUGGUUACACUUCAGCCAUAUUUUUAUGACAUGUACCUCUAGUAACUGUGCUGAUGGGUAGGGAUCAUGGUGGCAGGGCUUAGAAUACAAAUAAAUUUUGUGCAUCAAUUUUUUUCCUCUGAGCACAGCGGAGAACAACGUUGGUUUAGGGCCUGGAUUUAUAGUUGUGGUGCUCUUUGUCAUUUGGCCAUUGCAGGAGGGGUUAGGCAUCUUUUGCUGAGGUCCGUCUUUAGGUCAGGGGUCUAGUGACAGCAUUGCACCAAGGAAUGGGACAAGAACAAUCUCUGUCAUUUGAAUAGAAUGUCAUUUGAAUCUACAGUCUUCCUGGAGAGAGAACAUGUUAUCGAAUGCCUGGCUCGCCUUUAUGACUUAUCUGGGGAAAAUGCCUAUCGAACAAUAAAAUGCUAAUCCCUUCUUCAGAGCACAGCUCAUUUUCAAGUGGCUGCUGUGGCUCUCCCCCACCCCUUCAGUGCGACAGCCUCAGAGCCCGUGGAGAGGCAGAGCGCAGGCAGCUGGUAAGUAGCUGUGAAAUCUUUUGUAAAAUAGAUAUCCAAAAUAUGCUUUUGAAAGAGCAAGUGACAUAUUUUGAUGGAACAGGAUAAUACAGAACUGCGUAGGAAUUUCUGAUUCUCAUCAGUGGCAUUGAGAAAAUGGCUUCAUCAAAUUCUAAAUAUUCCAUGGACACUUUUCUAGUCUAAAGCUUGUCUCUUAAAUUGUGAGUGAGUUCCUAGAAGGAAAUAUAGAAACUUUCCCCUUAUGAUUCUGGUAAGAUAGUUCCCUAAAUAGGACUUGUUGAAGUGUUAUUGAAAUAUCAGCUUUAUGAUGUUUGCAUGAAAUGUGAUGAAAUGGGUGACAAGUCAUGAUGUUCUCAGAUCUGAUUUCCUUUCACAGUAUGGACAGAGCAGGGGGGAAAUGUUAUUUUGCAAUGGGGAAAAGAAUACCAUGCCUCAGUUUUUUUUAAUUAAGAAAAUCAUGUGACUGGAUGUCUGUACAGGAGAGAAAAUGAGGAGGAGGCAGCCUGUAAUGUUCAGAUUAAUUGCUUCACGUGAGAGAUGAACGUGUGUUGAAUGGGAAAGAUUUAAAUUUGGUUUGGGGAGGAAAAAAUCAUGAAAGAGAAAUAACGACAAGUGUGACUGUGCCUUGAUUACGAAAAUAAUUCAUUUGUAUUUAUUGACAUCAAUUUUUACAGUAGAGACAGAAUAUUAUCAGCCUUCUUUCUUGGGAAAGCGAUGUGGAAAAGAUAGCAGAGAUGCCUAUCAACAAAGCUUUUCUGUUUGUUACUGAAGUGUGCCUGAAAAUGGUUAGGCUUUUGUGUCUCCUUUUACCGGGAGCUUGCUUUUGUAGCUAUGUUUCUGUAAGAAAAAAAAGGAAAAAAAAAAAAAAGCUCAAGUGCUAUUUUUUUUUUUUAAUUUCUUCGAAAUUUGGAGUGUUUUGACCUCAGCAGGCAGAAAGGAGAAAAAAGAUAGAUAAGUCGAUUUUUGAGUUAGAUGCCAAAAUAGUAAUCAGGAAGGAAAAAGAAGAGUGAAAUAGCUUAAAAGAAAGUUGACAAGAUGGGCCAUUUUUCCCAAGCUGAAAAUGUCUGCUGGUGGCAUGUUUUGUGGGAGAAAAGAGGGAGGGGGCCGUUGAACACAGCACUGCGGCAAAGAGAAUGACUGACGCGUCCAGGGACAUGUGACCGUCCUCUGGGGUAGCGAAGCGAAUUUUCCAGGAGUCCAUCUUGUAUAAGACAUCCUGUACCUACUGACAUACAAAUAAUACUGUAAUCUUUGUGUAGCACAUGCCGAGUUUGUUUUGCUUGAUCCUCUGUUGAGGUACACUGGGCACCGUUACUCUUCGCUUUUUAUUGUCUCUAUUGCUAGACUUGCUUUUUUCUCUCCUCUCACCACUUUUGCAGUAUUUAUUCCAAUAUCUUGUUAAAAAUGCCGUCUUCCCCCUUUAUUAUAAAAACAUCAGAUAUUUAUUGUAGAAAAUUGGGAAAAAUCUAAAGAUGACUGUGAAAAUUACCCAUACUCCUAUAACCCAGAGAUAAUUACUAUUAAUAUAAUGACUGUCAGCCCCCCUUCUCUCAAUGGAUGCACAUCGAGGCACAAAAUAGAGAUUUAUAAUACAAAAUCAAGUUUAUAUAUAUAUAUAUGUAUGUGUAUAUAUAUAUAUAUGUGUGUGUGUGUAGUUUCAACCAGCUUUAAUCCUUAAACAACAUAUUGGGGGCAAUUCAUUAUAUUUUUAAAUAUUCCACAAGAAUGUGAUGUCUUAUGGGUGCUUAAUUUUCAACCAUACGGGAGGCCCACUUAUUACAUAUGGGAGGUCCAAUUAUUGAAUGUUUCUAUGUGCAAUUCUUGCUGUUAUAGUUUAAGGAAUAUCUUUCCAUAUAAACCUCUGUGUGCUUUUCUGUUUCAUUUUGUUUUCUCCUAGGAUAAAUUCGCAGACGUGGAAUUCCUGGAUCAAAUGGUAUGAACCAGUUUAAGGUUUCUCCCCCCGCUACCCUAUACAUAGCGCCUAAUUUAUUUACCGUAUGUGGUAAAAGGCAUUAUUUUCCAGUUGUGUUUUGCCUAUUCGUGUUUUAUCAUUUAUGGUGGGUUUUCCUAAGACAUGUUGCAGCUUUACGUUUUUAGAUAUCCACAACUAUCAAUUUUUGAUUUCGUGAUUUCUUUCUUUCUUCCGAUGAAUAUAUUCACCUGCAUUUUCUCCUCGUCAUUUCAUUGCUUCAUUUUUUGCAAUGAACUCCAAUUCACCUAGAAUUCAUUUUGGCCUACGGUAUGAAGUAGGAUCUAAUUUUGUGUUUUUUCCAAAUAGGUCACCAAUUGUUUCAGCAUCAUUUAUUGAAUAAUCCACCUUCCUCCACUGAUUUGAAAUGACAAGAACUGUGCUCCCGCUAGAUAGGGGGUAGCUUUCCCCAGGUCAGCCAUUUUCUCUCCACCCAAGAAGGUUACAUCCCACAGUAGCGCUCCUACCUUCUUGCAGCUUCUGGCAGCAUUCUCUAGCACCAUGUUCCUGCUGAUAGCUUUCGCGAAUUCUAGGCACACGCAGUUUGGGGCAUUGGUUUUCAAACCGGAUUUUAAAAUGUGCUGUUCCUCGCAGACCCAGCUGACAGCCUAGUUGCGUAGUCAAAUAAGACGCCCCAGGGUUAGGGUUAUUCUUAAAGUUCUUCCUUCAACCUCUUUUUCUACUCCUCAGGUACUCGGAGCAUUAAAGCUGUCUGGAUUCCUGGAAUUUUCUAGAAUGGUGUAAGAGGGAAAUGUAAGAAAUGUAUAAGGAGCAAAAAUAAAUAAUGUUUGCCAGCCUGUUGCUGGCUAUAG
This 3813-nucleotide long non-coding RNA is filed under the name Sus scrofa (pig). RNAcentral describes it as "lncRNA (ENSSSCG00070003655.1)". The record is from RNAcentral. Lineage: Eukaryota; Metazoa; Chordata; Mammalia; Artiodactyla; Suidae.